ACGUAGGUGUCGAGCGUUGUUCGGAUUCAUUGGGCGUAAAGGGUCCGUAGGGGGUUGGUUAAGUCUGAUGUGAAAUCCCGGAGCUCAACUCCGGAACUGCAUUGGAAACUGACUGACUAGAGCAUCGGAGAGGAGAUUGGAAUUCCAGGUGUAGCGAUAAAAUGCGUAGAUAUCUGGAAGAACACCGAAAGCGAAGGCAGAUCUCUGGACGAUUGCUGACCCUCAGGGACGAAAGCGUGGGGAGCAAACAG
Molecule: ribosomal RNA, 251 nt
Filed under: uncultured prokaryote
Description: partial 16S rRNA
Rfam family: Bacterial small subunit ribosomal RNA
Source: RNAcentral